This 203-nucleotide ribosomal RNA is filed under the name uncultured bacterium. Its description in RNAcentral is "partial 16S ribosomal RNA". It matches the Rfam family "Bacterial small subunit ribosomal RNA", at positions 524 to 726 of the family's 1533-position model. The record is from RNAcentral.
UACGAAGGGGGCUAGCGUUGUUCGGAAUUACUGGGCGUAAAGCGUGCGCAGGCGGCUUCUCAAGUCAGGGGUGAAAGCCCAGAGCUCAACUCUGGAAUUGCCUUUGAGACUGAGUGGCUUGAGUACGAGAGAGGUGAGUGGAAUUCCCAGUGUAGAGGUGAAAUUCGUAGAUAUUCGCAAGAACACCAGUGGCGAAGGCGGCU